UGCUAAUUAAUGUGAUCUAAUCCCUAUACAUUAUGUAUAUGGAAACACCACUAUGUACCCCAUGAAUGUGUACAAUUAUUGUCAAUUUAAAAAUACAAUUUUAAAAACACUCAUUUUAUUUUUUUAAAUUAAUUGUUCUUAUUUUAAAAAUUAUUAUUUUUUAGGGAUGGGAUCUCACUGCAUUGCUCAGGCUGGUCUCAAACUCCUGGGCUCAAGCAAUCUUCCUGCCUUAGCUUCCCAAAGUUCUGGGAUUACAGGCAUGAGCCACCACUCCCAGCCAAAAAAAAAAAUACUCAUUUAAAGCUGCACAAGUUUGAUGGCACAAGUCUGUAUAACUGGACCUGUGCCUUUAUAAAACCUCAAACACUGCAAAGGUUCAUGAAACAAUGUAUAUCUAUUCUUCUUAUUCACUGUCAUCAAUGCUGACCAGGGAAAAUUGCACAGGUGCACGUGUGUGUGUGUGUGUGUAGGGCUAGUGAAGCAGGCAACUACCAGAGAUACAUUAUUAAAAAGCUAACAUUUAUUGGCCAGGCGCGGUGGCUUACGUCUGUAAUCCCAGCACUCUCACGGGUGGUGCCUCCCCGGCAAUGGGGGUCCCAAGAUCCAGGGGGGGAAAAGGGGAUGGCUCUCAGCCACCACAAAAUGGGGGGCCUUUAUGUUCAGGUUUUGCCCAAGAGUCAGCUUAUUUGCUUCUUGUACUAGCAGGGCAGUUGCUGCCAAGGCCUCAAACAGGGGAGCCAUCCUUCAGAAACCCUGUCUAGUUGUUCAGAGACGUAGGCCACCGGCCUCAGCCAGGGCCCCACAGUUUGGGUUAAAAGUCCAGCUGCCAUCUUUUCUCUCUCUAACGCAUACAAUGGAAAAGGCUUUGUCAGAUCGGGUAGCCCCAGGGCUGGGGCUGCCAGAAGUUUUUCCUUUAAGUCAUGAAAGACUUGCUGUUCUUGGAUCCCCAUUCCAAAGGUUCCGGUCCCCGCCCCCUUUGUGACCUCAUACAAAGGCUUGGCUAAUACUGCAAAGUUUGGGAUCCACAGUCUACAAAACCCCACAUCCCCUGAGAAUUCUCUCGCCUGCCUUAGGCACUUAGGCUCCGGGAGAUUGCAAAUAACCUGCUUUCUUUCUGUUCCCGGGCUGCGUUCGGACUCCUGUCAGAUAGUAAAUCCUAAGUGGCGUCGGACCCCUGUCAGAGAGUAAAUCUCAAGUAAGGUACCUGCCAUCGGCAGAUUUGAGCUUUCUUCUUGGACACCUAAUACCCACAGUCCUCCAGGCUCCGGUAGACUGCAAAUGACCUGCUUUCUUUCUGUUCCCGGGCUGCGUUUGGACCCCUGUCGGACAGUAAAUCCCAAGUAAGGUACCUGCCCUCGGCAGAUUUGAGCUUUCUUCUUGGACACCUAAUACCCACAGUCCUCCAGGAUAACUUCAGGAAGUGGGUAUUAAUUCUCACGGUAUAAGUGAAGACAUUAAGCACCAGAGUUUAAGUAGCUUGAUCCACUGAAAGAGAUUCAACUGUGUGGAACCUAUGCCGUGGAGAAUUGCUUUCUGCCAUUGUUAUCGUCCAGCAGUUGCCGAAUAGCUCUGACCUGAGCAAAGCAGUGAAACGCGGUGCUGUUGAGUGGGUUGCCACUGCACCUUUUUCAACUACUCUAGUCUUGUGGAGAAAAUACCCCUUCUAAAUUUUUUCUUCAUUGAAUACUCUCCCUCAGCUCCAGAGUACCAUAUAGAGUUUUCUUGUAUUUUAGAGUUACUGUUUUAUCAAAGUUUACCAGUCUUUUGUAUUACAUUUCUCCUGUCUAAAUCGACUGUGUGGUUUCUACUCAUUAUGGAUAUAGAUUGAUACAAACUCAAUAAAUAUUUUUGAAUGAAUAACUCCACAGUCCAAGUUAUUUUAAUCACUAUACAAAAUCUCCAGAGUUUCUCCCAUAUUUCUGAACAUGGUAACUAUGUAUCAAGAGACAAACCAC
RNAcentral lists this long non-coding RNA (1955 nucleotides) under Homo sapiens (human). RNAcentral's name for it is "HSALNT0373178". Lineage: Eukaryota; Metazoa; Chordata; Mammalia; Primates; Hominidae. The record is from RNAcentral.